Molecule: ribosomal RNA, 408 nt
Filed under: uncultured bacterium
Lineage: Bacteria
Description: bacterial SSU rRNA
Rfam family: Bacterial small subunit ribosomal RNA
Source: RNAcentral
GACGAACGCUGGCGGCGUGCUUAAUACAUGCAAGUCAACUUGACUUUAGAUAGCAAUAUCGAAAAGUAGGGUGGCGCACGGGUGCGUAACGCGUAGGUAAUCUGCCCUGAGGUCUGACAUAACCCGUCGAAAGGCGGGCUAACAUCAGAUGAUAUAUAAUCACGACAUCGUGGAAAUAUCAAAUCUUCGGAGCCUUGGGAUGAGCCUGCGUCUGAUUAGGUAGUUGGCGGAGUAAUAGCCCACCAAGCCUACGAUCAGUAGCUGGUCUGAGAGGAUGAUCAGCCACACUGGAACUGAGACACGGUCCAGACUCCUACGGGAGCAGCAGUAAGGAAUAUUGCUCAAUGGGGGAAACCCUGAAGCAGCAACGCCGCGUGAAGGAUAGAAUACUUUUGUAUGUAAACUUCU